RNAcentral lists this long non-coding RNA (488 nucleotides) under Equus caballus (horse). Its description in RNAcentral is "lncRNA (ENSECAG00000037569.3)". The record is from RNAcentral. Lineage: Eukaryota; Metazoa; Chordata; Mammalia; Perissodactyla; Equidae.
UUUCCAUCACAAGGCACGCUUCAGUGUGAACAUGUAAGCAACCGAGGGUAUUGGACGUCCUCAGAAGGACAGAGGGAAGUCCUAAGCAGCCUCUCUCCAUCUUCCUAUCUCUAUUCUCCAUCUAUUCAUUCAGAGCCUGGGUUGCACAGAGGAGAACAGACAAACUUUGAGGGGAAGACGGAGGCAAGGGACUGGAUGACCUUGGAGAGACCUUGAGAUCCAAGCAAUAGCACCGUGGCCCUAGCACCCAGCAGUAACAGGAGCUUGCAGGAGUCAAACAUCUGAAGAUGGGACGCCGCCUAAACGUGGCCUGACGAGUGGUGCCAUGUCCUUGCCCAGGAUCCGAACCAGCGAAACCCUGGGCCGCCGUCGCACGAACUUAACCACUAGGCCACGGGGCAUUGGUGGGUUCAUUUGCAACCAUUUAAAAUGCUUAAAAAUUGGAAUUUUUAACAUAAAAAUUGGAAACAUAACAUGUAAACUUUUUG